CAGCAGGCGCGAAAACUUUACAAUGCUGGAAACAGCGAUAAGGGGACCUCGAGUGCCAGGUUACAAAUCUGGCUGUCGUGAUGCCUAAAAAGCAUUGCAUAGCAAGGGCCGGGCAAGACCGGUGCCAGCCGCCGCGGUAACACCGGCGGCUCGAGUGGUAACCGUUAUUAUUGGGUCUAAAGGGUCUGUAGCCGGCCGGAUAAGUCUCUUGGGAAAUCCAGCAGCUCAACUGUUGGGCUUUCAGGAGAUACUGUCUGGCUCGAGGCCGGGAGAGGUGAGAGGUACUUCAGGGGUAGGGGUGAAAUCUUGUAAUCCUUGAAGGACCACCAGUGGCGAAGGCGUCUCACCAGAACGGACCUGACGGCAAGGGACGAAAGCUAGGGGCACGAACCGGAUUAGAUACCCGGGUAGUCCUAGCCGUAAACGAUACUCGCUAGGUGUCGGCCACGGUGCGACCGUUGUCGGUGCCGUAGGGAAGCCGUGAAGCGAGCCACCUGGGAAGUACGGCCGCAAGGCUGAAACUUAAAGGAAUUGGCGGGGGAGCACAAGGGCGAAUCGC
This 559-nucleotide ribosomal RNA is filed under the name uncultured archaeon. Its description in RNAcentral is "bacterial SSU rRNA". It matches the Rfam family "Archaeal small subunit ribosomal RNA", at positions 333 to 896 of the family's 1478-position model. The record is from RNAcentral.